GUACGCUGGCGGCACGCCUAACACAUGCAAGUCGAACGCAGUAGCAAUACUGAGUGGCAAACGGGUGAGUAUAAUGUGGGAAUCUGCCUUUUGGUUUGGAAUAACACGGGGAAACUUGUGCUAAUACCGAAUAAGCCCUUACGGGGAAAGUUUUAACGCCGAAAGAUGAGCCCGCACUUGAUUAGCUAGUUGGUAAGGUAAAAGCUUACCAAGGCAACGAUCAAUAGCUGUUCUUAGAGGAAGACCAGCCACAUUGGGACUGAGACACGGCCCAGACUCCUACGGGAGGCAGCAGUGGGGAAUCUUGCACAAUGGGGGAAACCCUGAUGCAGCGAUGCCGCGUGAGUGAAGAAGGCCCUUGGGUUGUAAAGCUCUUUCGUCGGGGAAGAAAAUGACUGUACCCGAAUAAGAAGGUCCGGCUAACUUCGUGCCAGCAGCCGCGGUAAUACGAAGGGACCUAGCGUAGUUCGGAAUUACUGGGCUUAAAGAGUUCGUAGGUGGUUGAAAAAGUUAGUGGUGAAAUCCCAGAGCUUAACUCUGGAACUGCCAUUAAAACUUUUCAGCUAGAGUAUGAUAGAGGAAAGCAGAAUUUCUAGUGUAGAGGUGAAAUUCGUAGAUAUUAGAAAGAAUACCAAUUGCGAAGGCAGCUUUCUGGAUCAUUACUGACACUGAGGAACGAAAGCAUGGGUAGCGAAGAGGAUUAGAUACCCUCGUAGUCCAUGCCGUAAACGAUGUGUGUUAGACGUUGGAAAUUUAUUUUCAGUGUCGCAGCGAAAGCGAUAAACACACCGCCUGGGGAGUACGACCGCAAGGUUAAAACUCAAAUGAAUUGACGGGGACCCGCACAAGUAGUGGAGCAUGUGGUUUAAUUCGAAGAUACGCGCAGAACCUUACCAACACUUGACAUGUUCGUCGCGACUCUAAGAGAUUAGAGUUUUCGGUUCGGCCGGACGAAACACAGGUGCUGCAUGGCUGUCGUCAGCUCGUGUCGUGAGAUGUUGGGUUAAGUCCCGCAACGAGCGCAACCCUCACUUUUAGUUGCCAUCAUUAAGUUGGGCACUCUGAAAGAACUGCCAGUGAUAAGCUGGAGGAAGGUGGGGAUGACGUCAAGUCCUCAUGGCCCUUACGUGUUGGGCUACACACGUGCUACAAUGGUAUCUACAACAGGAAGCAAGACUGCGAGGUCAAGCAAAUCCUUAAAAGAUACCUCAGUUCGGAUUGCACUCUGCAACUCGAGUGCAUGAAGCUGGAAUUACUAGUAAUCGUGGAUCAGCGUGCCACGGUGAAUGCGUUCCCGGGUCUUGUACACACCGCCCGUCACACCAUGGGAGUUGGUUCUACCUUAAGGCAAGGUUUCAAACCCUUGACCACGGUAUAGUCAGCGACUGGGGUGAAGUCAUAACAAGGUAGCCGUA
RNAcentral lists this ribosomal RNA (1415 nucleotides) under uncultured bacterium. RNAcentral describes it as "partial 16S ribosomal RNA". It matches the Rfam family "Bacterial small subunit ribosomal RNA". The record is from RNAcentral.